This 107-nucleotide transfer RNA is filed under the name Candidatus Woesearchaeota archaeon. Its description in RNAcentral is "tRNA-Glu". The record is from RNAcentral. Lineage: Archaea; Nanobdellati; Candidatus Woesearchaeota.
GCUCCUGUAGUGUAGUCCGGACAAUCAUGCGGCCCUCUCGAGGCCGCGACUCGGGUUCAAAUUGUCGCAAGCGAGCAUACUUGCGCAUGCAAGUCCCGACAGGAGCA